GAUGAACGCUGGCGGCGUGCCUAACACAUGCCAGUCGAACGGAGAUUACGGACGGAAGUUUUCGGAUGGAAGACUGUAAUUCUUAGUGGCGGACGGGUGAGUAACGCGUGGGCAACCUGCCCUAUACAGGGGGAUAGCAGCUGGAAACGGCUGGUAAGACCGCAUAAGUCGGCGAGACCGCAUGGUUUUGCCGGGAAAUGAGCAAUCAGGUAUAGGAUGGGCCCGCGUCCGAUUAGCCAGUUGGCAGGGUAAAAGCCUACCAAAGCAACGAUCGGUAGCCGGACUGAGAGGUCGGACGGCCACAUUGGGACUGAGACACGGCCCAAACUCCUACGGGAGGCAGCAGUGGGGGAUAUUGCACAAUGGAGGAAACUCUGAUGCAGCGACGCCGCGUGAGUGAAGAAGUAUUUCGGUAUGUAAAGCUCUAUCAGCAGGGAAGAUGAUGACGGUACCUGACGAAGAAGCCCCGGCUAACUACGUG
Molecule: ribosomal RNA, 481 nt
Filed under: uncultured bacterium
Lineage: Bacteria
Description: partial 16S ribosomal RNA
Rfam family: Bacterial small subunit ribosomal RNA
Source: RNAcentral